This 501-nucleotide ribosomal RNA is filed under the name Glaciozyma antarctica. RNAcentral describes it as "partial large subunit ribosomal RNA". It matches the Rfam family "Eukaryotic large subunit ribosomal RNA", at positions 33 to 546 of the family's 3401-position model. Lineage: Eukaryota; Fungi; Basidiomycota; Microbotryomycetes; Kriegeriales; Camptobasidiaceae. RNAcentral also lists the same sequence under 1 other name. The record is from RNAcentral.
CUUAAGCAUAUCAAUAAGCGGAGGAAAAGAAACUAACAAGGAUUCCCCUAGUAACGGCGAGUGAAGCGGGAAGAGCUCAAAUUUGUAAUCUGGCCCUUUCAGGGUCCGAGUUGUAAUCUCGAGAAGUGUUUUCCGCGCCGGACUGCAUACAAGUCUGUUGGAAUACAGCGUCAUAGUGGUGAGAGCCCCGUAACUGAUGCAGAUGCCCGGUGCUUUGUGAUACACUUUCGAAGAGUCGAGUUGUUUGGGAAUGCAGCUCAAAUUGGGUGGUAAAUUCCAUCUAAAGCUAAAUAUUGGCGAGAGACCGAUAGCGAACAAGUACCGUGAGGGAAAGAUGAAAAGCACUUUGGAAAGAGAGUUAACAGUACGUGAAAUUGUUGGAAGGGAAACGCUUGAAGUCAGACUUGCUAUUCGGAAUUCAGCCGCAAGGUGUACUUUUCGAUUUGCAGGCCAGCAUCAGUUUUUGGGGGUGGAAAAGGGUGGAGAGAAGGUAGCAACCUC